AACGAACGCUGGCGGCAUGCCUAAUACAUGCAAGUCGAACGAGAUCUUCGGAUCUAGUGGCGCACGGGUGCGUAACGCGUGGGAAUCUGCCCUUGGGUUCGGAAUAACAGUUAGAAAUGACUGCUAAUACCGGAUGAUGACGAAAGUCCAAAGAUUUAUCGCCCAAGGAUGAGCCCGCGUAGGAUUAGCUAGUUGGUGAGGUAAAGGCUCACCAAGGCUACGAUCCUUAGCUGGUCUGAGAGGAUGAUCAGCCACACUGGGACUGGGACACGGCCCAGACUCCUACGGGAGGCAGCAGUAGGGAAUAUUGGACAAUGGGCGAAAGCCUGAUCCUGCAAUGCCGCGUGAGCGAUGAAGGCCUUAGGGUUGUAAAGCUCUUUUACCCGGGAUGAUAAUGACAGUACCGGGAGAAUAAGCCCCGGCUAACUCCGUGCCAGCCGCCGCAGUAA
This 449-nucleotide ribosomal RNA is filed under the name uncultured bacterium. RNAcentral's name for it is "partial 16S ribosomal RNA". It matches the Rfam family "Bacterial small subunit ribosomal RNA", at positions 29 to 523 of the family's 1533-position model. The record is from RNAcentral.